This 253-nucleotide ribosomal RNA is filed under the name uncultured bacterium. RNAcentral's name for it is "partial 16S ribosomal RNA". It matches the Rfam family "Bacterial small subunit ribosomal RNA", at positions 524 to 776 of the family's 1533-position model. The record is from RNAcentral.
UACGUAGGGGGCAAGCGUUGUCCGGAUUUAUUGGGCGUAAAGAGCGUGUAGGCGGUUUUACAGGUCCGCUGUGAAAACCCGAGGCUCAACCUCGGGCCUGCAGUCGAUACGGGCGGACUGGAGUUCGGCAGGGGAGACUGGAAUUCCUGGUGUAGCGGUGAAAUGCGCAGAUAUCAGGAGGAACACCGGUGGCGAAGGCGGGUCUCUGGGCCGAUACUGACGCUGAGGAGCGAAAGCGUGGGGAGCGAACAGG